This 413-nucleotide ribosomal RNA is filed under the name uncultured microorganism. Its description in RNAcentral is "bacterial SSU rRNA". It matches the Rfam family "Archaeal small subunit ribosomal RNA", at positions 330 to 745 of the family's 1478-position model. The record is from RNAcentral.
GCGCACCAGUCGAGAAUACUCCACAAUGCGCGAAAGCGCGAUGGGGCUAUCCCGAGUGCCGUCCGCUGAGGAUGGCUUUUCUCCAGUGUAAGGAGCUGGAGGAAUAAGGAGAGGGCAAGUCUGGUGUCAGCCGCCGCGGUAAUACCAGCUCUCCGAGUGGUAGGGACGUUUAUUGGGCUUAAAGCGUCCGUAGCCGGCUCAGCAAGUCCUCCGUUAAAUCCAGCGAUUCAAUCGUUGGACUGCGGGGGAUACUGCUGGGCUAGGGGACGGGAGAGGCCGACGGUAUUCCCGGAGUAGGGGUGAAAGUCCUAUAAUUCCGGGAGGACCACCAGUGGCGAAGGCUGUCGGCUAGAACGAGCUCGACGGUGAGGGACGAAAGCUGGGGAGCGAACCGGAUUAGAUACCCGUGUAGU